UAAUUUACCCUUGGCAUUGAGUUACUGCCCUAGAGCAGUGGGUAUCAGUGGGUAUAACUGGCAAAUUGUAUUAUCUUCCCCAGGUGAUGGUAUAAGAGGGGGAAUUUUGGGCCCCCAGGACCCCCAGGUCCCCCUGGAUCCCAGGGACACAAGGGAGAGCAGGGUAGCUCUGGGUACGGCCACGCCUUCGACCACAGGACCAGCGAGGGAAGAAGGCUGGCUGAGACUGAGACAGACUACUCCAAUAUAGCGGUCCGAGUGACUGACUACAUCAAGUACCAUGGUCUGUUGAGGGACGUGGUUGAGAACCGGUCUCAGCUGGAGAAGUCACAGGUUGUUCAAGGACCCCCAGGACCCCCUGGCCCUCCCGGUGCGCCAAGAUUCAGCCGUGUUUUUGGAUCCCAUAGUAACGCCACUGACCUUGUGGAAUACAUCAGAGCCCAUGGAAACAUUGUGGGACCCCCUGGAAGGCCAGGACAGAAAGGGGACAUAGGACAUACAGGUCACAAAGGCGAGAGAGGACUAGAUGGAAUCCCAGGAAGGACAGUCCUCCCUGGUCUGGAGUGGAAAAGGGGGGGAAAAGGAGAACACACACUCGUGAUGCACAGAAGGAGGAGGAGGAAUGUUGGUGUUUGAGAUGAUAUGAUUGUUAAAUACCCAUUAAAAAGGUGAAUGAAAGUCCUAUGAAAUAUGUCAUAAGUCAUGAGCACACAUGUGUGGGGGCCUAAUGCCUUGGAGACAUUACCGAUGUGAAUAUAUUAUUUUCUAUGGGAGAAACUGUUGAACAGGACAGUGGUCCAUGCGCUGAUGUAUUGUGUUGUGUCAAAGACGUCUUUAUGAUCUAUUUUAUUUUUAGUGUUUGAUCUGGAGUAUGUUUCUAAAUCACCUUCUUGCAUGUUGAUAGCAAGAAUAGUUCAACUAUGUGACAAAUAGGGGUGUGCUACUUUUAUUCAAUAGCUUUUGUACCAUUAUCGUUAUUGUACUUGAGGAAAAACACAUUUCGUAUCGAACAAAAUUCAAACCAUUGUCAAAAUCUUCUUUGAAUGUACUGGUAUCACUUUCUAAAAAUAAAGCUUGGUUUAUUUAAUCAAA
Molecule: long non-coding RNA, 1092 nt
Organism: Oncorhynchus gorbuscha (pink salmon)
Lineage: Eukaryota; Metazoa; Chordata; Actinopteri; Salmoniformes; Salmonidae
Exons: 5
Source: RefSeq, a predicted model, not a curated record